UACAGAGGGUGCGAGCGUUGUUCGGAAUUAUUGGGCGUAAAGGGCGCGUAGGCGGUGCGGUAAGUCACCUGUGAAAUCUCCUGGCUCAACUGGGAGCUUGCAGGCGAAACUGCCGUGCUGGAGUGUGGGAGAGGUGCGUGGAAUUCCUGGUGUAGCGGUGAAAUGCGUAGAUAUCGUAAGGAAGACCAGUGGCGAAGGCGGGUCUCUGGACAGUUCCUGACGCUGAGGCACGAAGGUCAGGGGAGCAAACGGG
RNAcentral lists this ribosomal RNA (253 nucleotides) under uncultured bacterium. Its description in RNAcentral is "partial 16S ribosomal RNA". It matches the Rfam family "Bacterial small subunit ribosomal RNA", at positions 524 to 776 of the family's 1533-position model. The record is from RNAcentral.